CUACAACAUCUGACAUAAUAAAACAACAUUGUAAAAUAUUUACCUUGAAAAGUAUUUCAAAAGUUUUCCAUAUUAUUUAAAUUUAAAAAACAUUCCCUAUACCAAGAAAAAAUAUUUUACACAAUGUAAAACAUCUCAAAUGUCAAAAGUAAAUUUUCAAAACAUAAAUCACAAAAUGUGAAAAGAUAUUGCAUCAACAAAAAGGUUGAUCAAAUUAAAUGAAUUCCAACAAAAUAAUACAAUCUACAUGUACAUCAUUCUACAUCAUGAUUACACACUAUAUCCAUAAUAUGAAAAAUUCAAUUUUAAAAGAAACACUGUAAUUAUCUCCCUUGAUCCCAAAUUAAACAACAUCUUAAUUCAGCAUUUAUCUACAAAAACACAUGUAUUAUGCCAGGAAAUUUUUGGUUAGUACAUUUUGUAUUUUA
RNAcentral lists this long non-coding RNA (428 nucleotides) under Mytilus galloprovincialis (Mediterranean mussel). Lineage: Eukaryota; Metazoa; Mollusca; Bivalvia; Mytilida; Mytilidae. The record is from RNAcentral.